AAUAGAUACCCAGGUAGUCCACGCCGUAAACGAUGUCAACUAGCCGUUGGAAUCCUUGAGAUUUUAGUGGCGCAGCUAACGCAUUAAGUUGACCGCCUGGGGAGUACGGCCGCAAGGUUAAAACUCAAAGGAAUUGACGGGGACCCGCACAAGCGGUGGAGCGUGUUCUUUAAUUCGAGGCUAAGCGAAGAACCUUACCAGGGCUUGACAUCCUUGGAAUUUCUCCGAAAGGAGAGAGUACUUUAUUGGACCAAGUGACAGGUGCUGCAUGGCCGUCGUCAGCUCGUGUCGUGAGAUGUUUGGUUAAGUCCAUUAACGAGCGCAACCCUUAUGAAUAGUUGUAUUUUUCUAUUCAGACUGCCCCGGUAACGGGGAGGAAGGGGGGGUAUGAUGUCAGGUCAGUAUUGCCCUUACGCCUGGGCUAGAAACGCGCUACAAUGGCCGGUACAAUGCGCUGCCAACCCGCGAGGGGGAGCAAAUCGCAUCAAAGCCGGUCCCAGUUCGGAUAAGAGGCUGAAACUCGCCUCUUUGAAGCCGGAAUCGCUAGUAAUCGU
This 554-nucleotide ribosomal RNA is filed under the name uncultured bacterium. RNAcentral's name for it is "bacterial SSU rRNA". It matches the Rfam family "Bacterial small subunit ribosomal RNA", at positions 777 to 1345 of the family's 1533-position model. The record is from RNAcentral.